GAUUUCCAACGGCAAGUGCUAUAAGAAUUAUUACAAGACCGUACACAACCACACGUCGAACUAAAAGACGAAACCGUCGAGGACCAUCACCUGGGAGCAAUCCUAAGAGCUGGUGGUGGAUUGAAGCCUCGCCGGAACGCAUAAAAUUCUGGGCGCUCAAGAAAUAUUCAACAUCAUGAAUAUCCAUCGCUUCUGCAAGAUUUACAUGAACGGCAGGUAACAAUAAAUGCCAUUGAAUACGUUCUA
This is a long non-coding RNA of Rhipicephalus sanguineus (brown dog tick), 246 nucleotides long. RefSeq lists it as uncharacterized. The record is from RefSeq and is a predicted model, not a curated record. Lineage: Eukaryota; Metazoa; Arthropoda; Arachnida; Ixodida; Ixodidae. The transcript is spliced from 2 exons.